Sus scrofa (pig) is the source of this 842-nucleotide non-coding RNA. Lineage: Eukaryota; Metazoa; Chordata; Mammalia; Artiodactyla; Suidae. The record is from RefSeq and is a predicted model, not a curated record.
GGGAGAGAAUGGCGGUGAGGCCCCUCGCUGUGGAUCCGCUCCUGGGUUCUCCUCUGAGGCUCAACUCUGCCCCUGGAAACCCUGGGGGAGCUGAGUUAAAACCCAGUUUUGCUGGGCUCCACCCUCAGGGUUUUUGAUUCAGGAGUCUGCAAUGGGGUCUGAAGAUCUGUAUUUCUAGCAAGUUCCUGGUCAUGCUUUUGUUCUGGGGAUAGAGACCCCGGGUACCAGGUAAAGGGGGAUUAAAUGAGGCUGUUGAUUGACAUGGUAAACAGCUGAUGGUGCAGGUGGUUGUGGGUGGGGUUGGGCGGGAAGAGAUUCAAGCAGCGUUGUGGGGGGUAGGACGAGACGAAGAGGCAGGGUUCCUUUGGAAAGGCCUGGCUGGGUUUGGACCUUUGAGACUACGUGAAGCGGCAGGACAAUGUCUUUUCGAAUACUCCAGCUAGUUUCCCCUGGCCCUGAGCUGACUAGGGCUCUGUGACUGCCCUGACCUGUGGUCACCAGCGUGUGCGGCUUCUCUUCUCUCCCCGGUGCAUCUCACCCGCCUGACCCUCGCAGGGUCGGAGAUCGGCCUGCUCCAGGAACAGCUCUUUCAGGGACUCGAUCCUCCCUGUCCCCUGGCCUGGCUGGGUGCCUUCAUCAGAGCACAAAGCUAUGAGAACUGCUGACGCCAUCAGCCUGUCACUGCAGCACGUUUGAUACUUAGCACCUGCUCGGAACGAGGCAGUUUCUGCCUCCUGAGCCUGAAGUCCAAGGGCAGAGGGUUCAAGUGCUGCUCACAGGUCCAAAGGAGGUGUGGGACCAUGCCUGCUGGACUCCCUGUGUCUGCUGGGUGGCUGGUGCCU